RNAcentral lists this ribosomal RNA (420 nucleotides) under uncultured bacterium. Its description in RNAcentral is "partial 16S ribosomal RNA". It matches the Rfam family "Bacterial small subunit ribosomal RNA", at positions 361 to 773 of the family's 1533-position model. The record is from RNAcentral.
AUAUUGGACACUGGGCGAAAGCCUGAUCCAGCCAUGCCGCGUGUGUGAAGAAGGUCUUCGGAUUGUAAAGCACUUUAAGUGUGGAGGAAGGGCCGUAACUUAAUACCUUGCUGUUUUGACGUUCCCGACAGAAUCAGCCCCGGCUGACUUCGUGCAAGCAGCCGAGGUAAUACGAAUGGUGCAAGCGUUAAUCGGAAUUACUGGGCGUAAAGCGAGCGGAGGUGGUUUGUUAAGUUGGAAGUGAAAGCCACGGGCUCAACCUGGGAAAUGCUUUCAAAACUGGCAAGCUAGAGUAGGGCAGAGGGUGGUGGAAGUUCCUGUGUAGCGGUGAAAUGCGUAGAUAUAGGAAGGAACACCAGUGGCGAAGGCGACCACCUGGGCUAAUACUGACACGGAGGUGCGAAAGCGUGGGGAGCAAAC